AGCCCUGAGUAAUUAUUCAGGGUAAAACCUGCCCAGUGAUAAGUUAAACGGCCGCGGUACUUUGACCGUGCUAAGGUAGCAUAAUCAAUUGACUUUUAAAUGGAGUCUGGAAUGAAAGGGUGAACGGGCUCCUACUGUCUAUAUCUUAUUUACUAGAAGUUACUAACUAAGUGAAAAUGCUUUGGUAAGAUAAAAGACGAGAAGACCCUUAGAGUUUAUAAAAAAAAUUUUGUUGGGGCGACGGAGGAUGGUGAACAUCCUUGAAAGAGGACAGGACGGUAAUUUCAUGUCUGGAUAAACUACCUUAGGGAUAACAGCAUAAUUUAAUAAAGUUUGUGACCUCGAUGUUGGACUAGGAAGCUCUUGGGUUAGCUGCCUAAGCGGGUGAUUCUGUUCGAAUUUAUACUCCU
This 410-nucleotide ribosomal RNA is filed under the name Diniatys sp. B TRO-2019. RNAcentral describes it as "partial 16S large subunit ribosomal RNA". It matches the Rfam family "Archaeal large subunit ribosomal RNA", at positions 1920 to 2665 of the family's 2987-position model. The record is from RNAcentral. Lineage: Eukaryota; Metazoa; Mollusca; Gastropoda; Cephalaspidea; Haminoeidae.